GUUGUUGCAGUUAAAAGCUCGUAGUUGAAUUUUGGGGCGGCCGCGGAGGUCCACUUCUUUGUGAGUACUUUUUGCGGCGGCCCUUCCAUGGCCCUUAAUCGGGCCAUAGUUACUUUGAGUAAAUGAGAGUGUUCAAAGCAGGCAAGCGCUUGAAUCUUUUAGCAUGGAAUAAUAAAAUAGGACGAUGAUUCUAUUUUGUUGGUUUCUAGGACCAUCGUAAUGAUUAAUAGGGACGGUCGGGGGCAUUAGUAUUCAGUUGUAAGAGGUGAAAUUCUUAGAUUUUCUGAAGACUAACUACUGCGAAAGCAUUUGUCAAGGACGUUUUCAUUAAUCAAGAACGAAAGUUAGGGGAUCGAAGAUGAUCAGAUACCGUCGUAGUCUUAACCAUAAACUAUGCCGACUAGGGAUUGGGCGACGCCUCAUGUACAUGACGCGCCCAGCACCUUACGAGAAAUCAAAGUUUUUGGGUUCUGGGGGGAGUAUGGUCGCAAGGCUGAAACUUAAAGGAAUUGACGGAAGGGCACCACCAGGAGUGGAGCCUGCGGCUUAAUUUGACUCAACACGGGGAAACUCACCAGGUCCAGACACAAUAAGGAUUGACAGAUUGAGAGCUCUUUCUUGAUUUUGUGGGUGGUGGUGCAUGGCCGUUCUUAGUUGGUGGAGUGAUUUGUCUGCUUAAUUGCGAUAACGAACGAGACCUUAGCUUUUAUUUGCCCGGCCUAACCUUGUGUUGGGUGCGGGCCAUAAAAGGACUAUCGAAUCCAAGUCGAUGGAAGUUUGAGGCAAUAACAGGUCUGUGAUGCCCUUAGACGUUCUGGGCCGCACGCGCGCUACACUGACGGAGCCAGCGAGUUUGCCUUAGCCGAGAGGUUUGGGAAAUCUUGAGAAACUCCGUCGUGCUGGGGAUAGAGCAUUGUAAUUUUUGCUCUUCAACGAGGAAUUCCUAGUAAGCGCAAGUCAUCAGCUUGCGUUGAUUACGUCCCUGCCCUUUGUACACACCGCCCGUC
RNAcentral lists this ribosomal RNA (1007 nucleotides) under Metschnikowia sp. (in: budding yeasts & allies). Its description in RNAcentral is "SSU rRNA". It matches the Rfam family "Eukaryotic small subunit ribosomal RNA", at positions 609 to 1677 of the family's 1831-position model. Lineage: Eukaryota; Fungi; Ascomycota; Pichiomycetes; Serinales; Metschnikowiaceae. The record is from RNAcentral.